GUGUCAGCCGCCGCGGUAAUACGUAUGUCCCGAGCGUUAUCCGGAUUUAUUGGGCGUAAAGCGAGCGCAGACGGUUGCUUAAGUCUGAAGUGAAAGCCCACAGCUCAACUGUGGAAUGGCUUUGGAAACUGGGCAACUUGAGUGCAGUGGAGGUAAGUGGAACUCCAUGUGUAGCGGUGGAAUGCGUAGAUAUAUGGAAGAACACCAGUGGCGAAGGCGGCUUACUGGACUGUAACUGACGUUGAGGCUCGAAAGUGUGGGUAGCGAACAGGAUUAGAUACCCUGGUAGUCCACACCGUAAACGAUGGAUACUAGUUGUUAGAGGGUUUCCGCCCUUUAGUGACGAAGCAAACGCAUUAAGCACUCCGCCUGGGGAGUACGACCGCAAGGUUGAAACUCAAAUAAAUUGACGG
This 413-nucleotide ribosomal RNA is filed under the name uncultured bacterium. Its description in RNAcentral is "bacterial SSU rRNA". It matches the Rfam family "Bacterial small subunit ribosomal RNA", at positions 505 to 916 of the family's 1533-position model. The record is from RNAcentral.